AUCCCAUGACGUGGGCACUUCCUUAACAAUUCCUUAAACCUCUCCUACGUAUCAUACAAAGUCUCUGACUCUAAUUGGUAAAAGGAAGAGAUAUUAUUCCUCAUCUU
Abrus precatorius (Indian licorice) is the source of this 107-nucleotide small nucleolar RNA. The record is from RefSeq and is a predicted model, not a curated record. NCBI's taxonomy places the organism in Eukaryota, Viridiplantae, Streptophyta, Magnoliopsida, Fabales, Fabaceae.